Non-coding RNA from Podarcis lilfordi (Lilford's wall lizard), 75 nucleotides. The record is from the annotation of a GenBank genome assembly. NCBI's taxonomy places the organism in Eukaryota, Metazoa, Chordata, Lepidosauria, Squamata, Lacertidae.
GGAGGGUCCUGGCUCAGUGGUUGGGCAUCUGCCUUGCAUGCAGAUAGGCCACAGGUUCGAUCCCCGGCGCCUCCA